UACUCUCACACUUCCGAUCGUUUGGAUCAGGAGCGGUGGACUUGGGUGUUGCUGCUUUACUGUGGCUCACCUUAAAUGCAUUAGUGCACCUUUCGGUUGGACAUAGUACGGCGUGAUAAGUGUCUUCGCCGGCACCUCACAGAGGGUGGCCGAUCGGGAGCUCUGUGCUUCAAACCGUCUUCGGACAACAUCUGACA
RNAcentral lists this unclassified non-coding RNA (197 nucleotides) under uncultured Sebacinaceae. RNAcentral's name for it is "sequence contains ITS2". The record is from RNAcentral. Lineage: Eukaryota; Fungi; Basidiomycota; Agaricomycetes; Sebacinales; Sebacinaceae.